AUGAUCCCCCAGAUCAUCGGUCAGGCCAAGGAGCAUCCUAGCUUGAUCCCCCUCUUCAUAUUUAUUGGAGCGGGAGGUACUGGAGCAGCGCUGUAUGUUUUGCGCCUGGCAUUGUUCAAUCCAGAUGUCAGUUGGGACAGAGAGAAUAACCCAGAACCCUGGAACAAACUGGGUCCCAAUGAUCAGUACAAGUUCUACUCAGUGAAUGUAGAUUACAGCAAACUGAAGAAAGAAGGUCCAGACUUCUAAAUGAAAUGUUUCAC
Delphinapterus leucas (beluga whale) is the source of this 263-nucleotide non-coding RNA. The record is from RefSeq and is a predicted model, not a curated record. NCBI's taxonomy places the organism in Eukaryota, Metazoa, Chordata, Mammalia, Artiodactyla, Monodontidae.